This 1632-nucleotide long non-coding RNA is filed under the name Canis lupus dingo (dingo). RNAcentral's name for it is "lncRNA (ENSCAFG00020023900.1)". Lineage: Eukaryota; Metazoa; Chordata; Mammalia; Carnivora; Canidae. The record is from RNAcentral.
CAGAGCAUGAAGCAGUGAUGGACCUGGGCGAGGAGGGUUGUCCACGAGGUGGCCAUGUGAGAUGUCAAGAGUCAGAACUUCUGGCCCUUAUUUGUGAAAGACUUGUGACCUCAUGGAUACUGUAGAUUCCUCCCCGAGGAAUGUGUGUAUGUUGUGUGCUUCACAGAGGUCAUCUCAGCAUCACAUGAGAUAAUGUGCAUGAAAAUACUUCCUACAUGACGCAGGCUAAUACUAACCUGGUUCACAUAUUGAUCAUUUGACCUCAUCUACUGAUUAUUGGGGCUUUCAGACCUUAAUAUCCCAAGGGUGUGACAUUAAGGGAUUCCUGUAUUAAUGCAUAGGCUUCUCCCUUCACUGCAUUUAACCCAUUCUCCUGGUUUCCCAGACUACAGAUGCUACCAGGGAGAAGUGGAGAAGACACGGAAACUUCUCGCUGUUUUAAGAAGCGUCAGGGAAGAACCAAGAGGAGGAGGAAAGGCCGGCCACUGAAAGCUAUACUUCCAGCAUUGGAGCCAGGUGGGAAAGCAAAGCAAAAGCAAAGCAAAACAGCAACCAAAACCCACAAAGGAAUCUCUGUUGGUAGAACAGCUGAGCUGCAAAGAAGGAGGACCUCCAGACCAGAGUUGACAUGAUGUGAGUUUGGUCAGUUCACGGAUGUGAAUGUGAAGGUAAGAAUCCUCUGCAGCUGGCUAAGGAAGGCCAGUUUCAAUGCAGGAAAACCAAGAAUGAGUAGUGGACAGUGGAGAAACAGGAGAAGAGAGGAAAGCUAGACAUAAAAUGACAAGGAACAGAAAACACAGCAAACUUUAGUGUGGGGGGUGACCCCUGUGACACUGCUGAGUCCCCGUGAUCACAUCUCCCUGUAUUUGCCUUUAUGUAGUCCUCUGUCUUUGAACUGGAACAGGGACUGUGACUUAUUCAGUCUAGAAGUGGCAGAGUGAUGCUGUACUACUUCCUGUAUCUAUACGGGAAGCCUGAGAAGUUCUGCUUCUGGGCUCUGAGCCCUGAUCUGCUCUAUAGAGGACUCUGUGACCCUGCUGGAGCUAUGUGGAGAGGCCAUGGGAGGAAAGCCUAGCCAAUCCCAGACCCCACCAGCCGAGUACAUCCAUAUGAGUAACCAUUGAGUAGAAAAUCAGAAGAGCCACCCAGCUAAGCCCAGCCCAGAUUGCAGAAUUGUGAGCAAACAAAAUGUCCUUUGUUUUAACCCAGGAAUUUUGGGGGACUUUUGCUCUAUCACAAAACAUGACUGUUCGUAUGAUAACGAAGGAGAAGCAACAAGUCUCGAGGCCCAGGGGCUCUGCCCUCUGAGACCAUUGGUGUGGAGUGAAGAUGCAGGCCUGGGACCAUGGCAAGCUCAGUCAUAGCCUCACUUUUUACCUUUUGCUCUGUGGCCUGGGGCAAGUUAUUUAGUCUCUUGGGCCUGAGUUCCGUUAUCUGUAAAAUGAGAAAAAUAUUUCUUCCCUAACCAAAGAGUUAAGAAAUGAAAUGAGUGAGAGUUUGGGACACAUAUUUAGUACCCAUCAAACAUGAGUUUGUUCUGUUCCAUUUUUCCUUAGAGUUCCCUCCCUUACCCCUGCAGGGGUGAUCUAAGCUACAUUAACUUUUAAGAAGAGUCCUGUGCCCUGCUAAAGG